This 408-nucleotide ribosomal RNA is filed under the name uncultured bacterium. Its description in RNAcentral is "partial 16S ribosomal RNA". It matches the Rfam family "Bacterial small subunit ribosomal RNA", at positions 29 to 526 of the family's 1533-position model. The record is from RNAcentral.
AGUGAACGCUGGCGGCGUGCCUAACACAUGCAAGUCGAAGGAAGUGGCGCACGGGGGUGUAAUAUAUAGCUAAUCUGCCCCUUGCUGGAGGACAACAGUUUGAAAUGACUGCUAAUACUCCAUAGCAAGGGAUGAGACUAUAUCGUAUCAGCUAGUCGGUGGGGUGACGGCCUACCGAGGCUAUGACGCGUAACUGGUCUGAGAGGAUGCUCAGUCACAUUGGAAGUGAGACACGGUUCAGACUCUUACGGCAGGCAGCAGUAGGGAAUAUUGCGCAAUGGGGGAAUCCCUGAAGCAGCAACGCCGCGUGGAGUAUGACACUUUGCGGAGCGUAAAUUCCUUUUGUUAGGGAAGCGGUACCUAACGAAUAAGCACCGGCUAACUCCGUGCCAGCAGCCGCGGUAAUUC